RNAcentral lists this long non-coding RNA (19406 nucleotides) under Gossypium barbadense (sea-island cotton). RNAcentral's name for it is "long non-coding RNA (GBAR_LNC004957)". Lineage: Eukaryota; Viridiplantae; Streptophyta; Magnoliopsida; Malvales; Malvaceae. The record is from RNAcentral.
AAAAACGAAAUAAAAUUCGAAGAAAUAAAAAAAAGGCCCCAUCAUCGUUCGACCCUCAUCCACAUCUCCAUGCUUCUGAGAUGUUUGGACUCUCAUCGGCGUCGGUUCAAAUAUUUCUUUCUUUUAUGCUAAAAUCGCAAGCAAAUGAGAAGAAAACCAAAAAAAUAAACAGACUUGAAAAUCACCUUUUGAUUUGUGAUUUCUGCUUUUUCUAUUGAUCUCUUUGUUGUAUGUGUAUAUAGUAUGCAUGCGUAAAAAAAAUACAAUGGAUUAUCUAUGGCUUUAUAGCUGAAAUGUUCAAAAAUAAAAAUACAAUUUUUCUUUUUCUUUCGUAUUGGUCGUUGCUGCUACUGUUUACUUGUUUUUUUUUCGCAGGUACGGAGUGUGUGCUGGCACUUGGCGUGAGGCGUACGGAGGCGCGUGUGGCGAUCGUACAGUGCUGGGGGCUGCGGCACGGUUUGGCUAGGGUUUUCCUUCCUGAAAUCAGAAAUUAGAUCGUUUGGGUCAUUGGGCCAUUUCUGUAUUUGGGCCUCUGGGUUCAUUGGGUUAAGAUUAUUAGGCUAUUCGGGUUAGGUUUAGUUCAGGCCCGAGAAUUUGUAAAUGAACUUUUAAAUUCUGACUGUUAUAAGAUUUGGAUUUUAUAUUUAUUUUGUAUUUCGAUUUUGAUGUGGACCCGAGCAAAUUGGCCCGUUUACAGCUGCCUAUCUUUGCUCAUUGUCAUGUAACGAGAAUAGAGCAAAGACUUCAAAGAGGGCCAAUUUUGCCCGGUCUCGCGGAAUCAUGACUUCUUUGGUGUUCUUCUUCUUCGAGGUAGCCUCGUUCCGAUCCUCUACAACUUCAGAGAUAUAGGAAUUGUUGCUCCUAUCUACUUCACCGUAACUCUAGAGAGACUAGCCUUGUAGCUUUUAAUCUGCUCUACCGCAAUUGCUCCACUGCAACCUCAGGGAGAUAUGGUUCGUAUAUUUUUAUCCUGCUCUACUGCAACUUCAGAGAGAUAAGCAUUGUGAUUUCGAUCUGCUUCACUGCAACUUUAAGGAGAUAAGAUCUGUUAACUUUAUUCUGUUCCACUGCAACUGCUCCAUUGCAACUUAGGGAGAUAAGAUCUACAAUCUUCGGCCUAUUACCCUACUACUUAGGGGGUUAAGGCUCACUAUCUUCGAUUUGCUCCAGUACUGCUUAGGGAGACAAGAUCUACAAUCUUUAGCCUGUUACCCUACUACUUAGGGGGUUAAGGCUCACUGUCUUCGAUCCGCUCCACUAUUGCUUAGGGAGAUAAGAUCUGUGAAUUCACUGAUGUUGCUACACUGUCUUCUAGGAACAUGAUCUGUAGAAUCGGUUUUCUGUACCUAUGCUUAUGCCAAAUGAUUAGGAUGCCAUGAUCAAAAUGAGUCAAAUGCUCCUAACUAAAUGAAUGAUUAUGAAUGUAGAAAUGUCAUGAGAGUGAUUCCUUUUUAAAUGCUUAAGGUAUCAUUGCUCAUAGUUCAUCAGGGUUCUAUCAUUGAUGUGCUAUCGUGUCUUCUUGUUUGGCCAGUAUCUUUGCAGAAAAUUUGAAGAAAUAGUCACAAUUUGGACUAUUUGUUUUCCAAUGUUUCCAACUUUUGAAUCUGGUUAAUCCUGACUAGUGGCCCUGUUUUAGGUCAUUGUACUAUUGAGAGACCUUCUAGAGUAAUAUGCAUAACUUCUUUUGUAUGAAUAUUAUAAGUCCAAAAAUUGUGAUUUUAACAAAAAUGCUCGAAAGAGACUAUCAUAAUGGACAAGAUGGAAUUUUAUUGAGCAAAACUCAAAGUGAAUAAAUUAAACAGGAUAGCAAAUCUGCUAAGGUACAAAAUAAGAUGAGAAAAAAGGUGCCCCAGAUAUCGCAGCACGAGCUUCACUAUUUCGACUUCUCAAAGGUCAUUUCGAGCUAAAUAUGUGUUCAGGAGAUCCCGCGUAUUUUGUUGAUGCUCCAAGAUGUACUGUUCUUCCUUCUUGUUAAUUUGGGAGGACAAUACUACCACAUGCCCUGUAUUCAAAAUUUGAGCUGCUCGUUUUCGGGUUUUCAACUCAAAAACCCCUUUGGUCUCAAAGCGCCCUUUGCGGGUUUUCACCUUGGCCUCUCCAUAUUUUUUUUUGGAAGGUCUUAAAGCACCCUAUGUGGGUUUUCACUUUGACCUCUUUCCCUCUUUAAGUGUAGUACUUCUUGACGGAAUUUGAAUUCACAGGAUUGGACAGGUUUUUCCCAUCUAUUUUGGCUAGAAUUAAUUCUCCUCCGGAGAAAGCUUUCUUCACCACGUAAGGCCCCUCCCAAUUGGGCAUCCAUUUUCCUCUAAAAUCCUUCUGUAUAGGAAAGAUUUUUUUCAGAACCAGAUCUCCCUCAUGAAACUCUCUUGGGUGAACCUUUUUGCCAUAAGCCCGCAUCAUUCAUUUUUGGUACAUUUGACCAUGACGGGUAGCUCUUAGCCUUUUUUCUUCAAUCAAGUUCAAUUGAUCGUAUCGAGACUGGAUCCACUCUGCUUCAUCUAACUUUAGCUCCGACAACACUCGAAGGGAUGGGAUCUCGACUUCGAUUGGCAAAACCGCUUUCAUUCCGUAGACCAAAUAGAAAGGUAUUGCCCCAGUAGAGGUUUUGACUGAUGUUCGAUAAGUAAAGAUGGAAAAUGGUAACUUCUUAUGCCAAUCUUUUUAGGUUUCAGUCAUCUUCCCCACAAUCUUCUUAAUGUUUUUAUUGGCUGCUUCCAUUGUCCCAUUCAUUUUCGGGUGAUAUGGUGACGAGUUGUGGUGUCUGAUCUUGAAUUGACUGCAGACUUCCGCUAUUGUACUAUUGUUCAAGUUUAAUGCAUUAUCAGAUAUGAUCCUCUCCAGCAUUCCAUAUCGACAUAUGAUCUCCUUUUUUAGGAAUUUGCUCACUGCCGACUUUGUAACAUUGGCAUAUGAAGCGGCUUCUACCCAUUUGGUGAAGUAGUCGAUAACCACAAAGAUGAACAGAUGCCCAUUGGAAGCUUUCGGUGAUAUUGGUCCAAUCACAUCCAUACCCCACAUAGAGAAAGGCCAUGGGGAAGUCAUGACAUGCAGCGGUGAAUGAGGCACAUGAAUUUUGUCUCCAUAGAUUUGGCAUUUAUGACAUCUCUUUGAGUAAUGGACACAGUCUCCUUCCAUAGUGGACCAAUAAUACCCGAAUCUCAUAAAUUUCCUGGCCAUUCUAAAGCCAUUAGCGUGUGUCCCACAGAUGCCCUCAUGGACUUCUUACAAGAUUUUCUUAGCCUCUACAGCGUCUACGCAUCUUAAUAGUACUUGAUCCUUUCUUCUUUUGUAUAGGAUCUCCCCAUCUAAGACAUAGUCAAUGGCCAAUCUUCUCAGCGUCCUUUUGUCAUUCUCGCUUGCCUAGUCCGAGUACUCACGAUUCCUUACGUAUUGCAAUAUAUCGUGAUACCAUGGGUGAUCAUCUUUUUCUUCAUCUUCUUCAAUAUUGUAACAGUGAACCGGAGUUUCAUAAAUGCUCAUCCGGAUGGGUUUGACAUAUUCUUGUUUGUUUACCUUGAUCAUGGAAGCUAAGGUGGCCAAAGCAUCAGCCAUCUAAUUUUCGUCCCGUGAAAGGUAGCAGAAGGUAAUGUCAUCGAACUCUUUAACCAAUUCAAGGACCAGUUUUUGAUAAUCGAUCAACUUGGGAUCUCUGGUCUCCCAUUCUCCCUUGAGUUGAUAAAUCACUAAUGCAGAAUCUCCAUACACCUCUAACUCUUUAAUCUUAUGUUCUAUGGCUGAACGGAUACCUAUGAUGCACGCUUCGUAUUCUGCCAUGUUAUUCGUACAAUCAAAAUCCAAUUUACUAGUAAAUAGAUAAUGAUCUCCGUUUGGGGAUACCAAGACUGCCCCGAUUCCAUUGCCCACAGCAUUUGAUGCCCCAUCGAAGUUUAGUUUCCAGGAAAGUUCUUCCAGAGCACCUUCUCCAGUGGUCGCAACACACAUCAGGUCUUCAUUCGGAAAAUCGAAGUUCAAGAGCUCAUAAUCUUCCAAAGCUCUACUGGCCAGAAAAUCUACUAUUGCACUCUAUUUUACUGCUUUCUGGUUCACAUAGACUAUGUCGAAUUCAGAGAGCAGAAUUUGCCAUCGGGCCAUCCUUCUAUUCAAAGCUGUUGACUCCAUCAUGUACUUAAAGGGUCCAGUUUUGAGAUGAGCCAAGUAGUGUGAUACAACAUAUACUGUCUCAACCUUCGGAUUGUCCAAACCAAGGCACAACACAACUUUUUUAUCAGCGGACAUCUUAUCUCACAUUCAGUAAACUUUUUACUAAGAUAGUAAUAGCUUUUUCUUUCCUUCUUGACUCAUCAUGCUGACCAAGUACGCAUCCCAUAGAAUUCUCAAAUACUGCCAAAUACAGUAUCAAUGGCUUAUCGGGGUUAAGUGGCAUCAGCACCGGAGCGUUGGAUAAGUACUGUUUGACCUUGUCGAAAGCCCUUUGGCAUUCUUCAUCCCAUACACCUAGGUUAUGUUUCUUGAGGAGGUGGAAAAUGGGGUCACAUUUUUCGGUUAGUUGUGAAAUGAACUGAGUGAUGUAAUUUAAUCUUCCUAGAAAGUCUCGAACCUCUUUUUGGGUACGCGGUAGAGAUAGCUCUUGUAUGGCUUUGACUUUGUCUGGAUCGAUCUCAAUUUCUUUCUCACUAACCACGAAUCCGAGAAGCUUUUCAGACUUGGCUCCGAAGGUACAUUUGGUUGGAUUGAGUUUUAGCUGAAACUUCCUCAACCUGAAGAACAACUUCCUCAAGACUUGUACGUGCUCCUUCUCUGUUCGGGACUUUGCGAUCAUAUCAUCGACAUAAAAUUUGAUUUAUUUGUGCAUCAUGUCGUGAAUCAGGGUUACCAUGACCCUUUGAUAUGUUGCCCCUGCUUUUUUCAGUCCAAAUGGCAUCACAUUAUAGCAGAACGUGCCUCACAUGGUUACAAACGUAAUCUUCUCCAUGUCUUCAGGAUGCAUCUUGAUCUAGUUAUAUCCAGAGAAACCGUCCAUGAAGGAAAACAGUGAGUGUCCUACCGUGUUGUCCACUAAGGUGUCGAUAUGAGGCAGUGAGAAAUUAUCUUUCAAGCUAGCGUUAUUCAAAUCUCUGUAGUCUAUACAUAUUUGUACUUUUCCAUCCUUCUUAGGGACGGGGACGAUGUUAGCUACCCAUUCUGAGUAUUUUACCACCUUUAAAAAUUCAGCGUCAAACUACUUUCUAACCUCUUCUUUUAUUUUUUAGCAAGAUGUCGGGCCUCAUUCUUCGGAGUUUUUGUUGAACUGGCUUACAUUCUUCUUUUAUAGGGAGUCGGUGCACCACAAUAUCAGUGUUUAACCCAGGCAUAUCUUGGUGUGACCAUGCAAGACAUCUUUGAAUUCUUGAAGUAAUUCGAAAAUGUCUCACUUCAUCCCCAUGGUGAUACAAGUUCCGAUCUUCACCUCUUGUCCCUCUCAUAAGAUUACAAUUUCUACUAAUUCUUUGUGAGGUAGGAUUUGUUCCUCGUCUUGUUUUACUAUCCUCAACAAAUCAGGGGAUAUGUUACAGCCUUGGUCAUCUUCAAAAUCCUGAGAAUCCUCCAUACACAUAUCUCGCUCAAAAGGAGACUCUGAGCCACUAGCAGUGUCACUCGUAUCAUUGAUAUCUAGGGACCUGUUAUAAGGAUGAAGGAAGAUACAAAGAACCAAAAGAUAUGGUAUGAUUAUGAAUGAAGAACGAAAGGAUAUUUAGAAGAAUGUUCGAAGGACAAAAGAAUCCGAAAGUAAUCAUUUGUAUAAUAUGAUUAUGAAUGAAAAGGAAAGAAUGAAAGAAUAUCUGCUCAAAAUGAUAAUAAUUGUGCAUUUUAUUAAAAUAACAUUUUUGAACAUAAGCCUAUUUCACAAAAGAUUCUUAUUACUUCUAGGCCUAGAGCAAUAAGUGUGUUUUGGACAUUACUCUGAGUCAGCUCUAAAAACUACAGGAAUCUCUUCCACAGUCCAGUUAUCCAGAAUACUUCCAGGUAUGUAGGGGUAAAUAUCCGACAAAUUUUUUCCUCCAGCCCCUUCAUCGUAUGUGGCGUUGAUGUCUAAGUUUUCUAACUUUUCUUCUAUGGCUUCCUUUCUUGGCGUGCCCCGCUCGGGAUGAAUGAUUCCUCCAGACACAAAAGUUUUCGAUAUAUGGGGGAAUAUCAUUGGCUCCCAUUUGAUUUUCUCUCCCUUCAACCGUGCUUUUCUUCUUUCUUGUUUCUUUUCCAGCUCAUUUUUCCUUUGUCUCACAUCCGACUUAAAUCCUAAGCCGAAGCGGUCUCUCUUGUCCUUCAAUACUAGCAUUUCAACCCUUCCUUGAAGAUGUCUCUUGAGUCCUCUUCCCGGUAAAGCUCCUUUUCUAACCAUCAACUGUAGACUCAUCCUUGUAGUUUUGGAUAAUUUCAGCGUCAGGAUCUUGCUUCUUCAGUAAUAAAUGUCGCAUUAAAAAAUUCUAAAGACCGAAAUGAGCAUUCGAUUGCUUCGUUAUCUGUCUUUAAAUAGGGUGCAUCACUGCUUACAGUUGCAAUAAUAUCCUCUUCAGCAUUUAUCGUUAUCAACCGCCCCUCUGAUACUAACUUCAACUUCUGAUGCAACGAUGAAGGCACUACCCCAGCUGAAUGUAUCCAGGGCCUCCCCAAUAAGCAGUUGUAUGAAUGCUUAAUAUUCAUCACCAGAAAAUCCACCUCAUAUGUGUUUGGUCCGAUCAGAAGAGGUAUCUCAAUUCUUCCCAUCACCUUUCUCUCUGUGCCAUCUAAUGCCCUCAUUAUAUUCUGGCACUCUUUUAUGUGAGAGCUGUCUACAGGUAAUCUGUUUAGUGUGGACAGUGGUAGGAUAUUCAAGGCUGACCUGUUGUCAAUCAGUACUCCUGGCAGCGUAUACCCUUUAUAACACGUGGUGAUAUGUAAAGCUUUAGUCGACCCUAUGCCACUGGGUGGUAUCUCAUCGUCGUUGAAGAAGAUAAAGUUAUCGGCACUUAUGUUGCUAACUAAGCGAUCUAACUUGUUGACGAAGAUAUCAUUGGCAACAUAUGUUUCAUUCAAAACUUUCAUCAGCGCGUUGCGAUAGACCUCUAAACUUAGGAGUAAGGCCAGCACCGAGAUAUGAGCUGGUUGUUUAUGCAGCUGUUCCACAACACUGUACUCGCUGUGCUUUAGAAAUUUUAAAAACUCCUUAGCCUCAUCUUCGUUAACUGGUUCAUUAACAAGAAGUUCAUAUUUGGCCGUUUUUUUCCUUCUUCUGAUGACCACUAUGGCUUUUCCUUUUGAGGGUUUUACUUUCUCGCUUGCUGUAUCGUAGCAUCACCCCCUACGCGUAGAGGAGCCCAUAUCUUGGUCCUCUUUUGAAGCGUCAUCCAGGUUCUCUUUUCCUGGGAUCGUCACGUUACAAUCGUAAUUCCAUAAGACCCUCUUACUGUUUUUAUAGGAGAAGACUGCAGGUCUUUGGAUUAUGACCCUUGGUGGCUUUUGCACUCCCAUUUCAUUAUUUUUAGGUCAUGAUAUGAUGACCACAGGGUAGUUAAUUGUUUGGUUCUGAGCUGUCAAUUCUCCCUCUGACGCGCAUAUAUCUCCUUCUUCGGGGUUUUCGAUUUCUUUAUAAAACUCCAUUUCUCUAUUGUUCAUCAUGUCCUGUACCAGGGCCCUGAACUCCACACACUCUUGAAUUUCAUGCCCCACCUUAUUGUGGAACUCACAGCAGUUCCUCUCUUCUUCAGAUUCUUCUCUCGAAUCCAACACGAUCAAUCCUCUCUUGACCAUCUCCUUCCACACCCGUCUCAAUGGGGUCCUGACUUCUGCAACCUCAUAUUUGAUCUUCUUGCUUCUGCUUUCGUUUAUCCCGUUUACUCCUUGGUCCGUAUGAUUGGGGAGCGGGUUUCCUGCUACAUUGGGUACGACUGGGUCGUCAAACCUUACAAUACCCCUUUAAUAAAUCUUUCAAAUAGUUUCUUGAACGCGGUGCAGUUUUCAGUUGAAUGCCCGGUGAUUCUUGCAUGGUAUUCGCAUUGGGCAUUUGUGUCAUACCAUUUGAGAAACGGGGGUUGCAGUGGCUUCAGGUGGAAAGGGGACACUACAUGAGCGUUGAAUAGGUUCUGGUACAGUUCCCUAUAUGUCAUGGGUAUAGGCGUGAAUUGUAGCCUUUCUGUGUUCGCCCUCACGCUAGAUUCUUGUCUCACAGUGCUAUGUUGAUUGGCAGUCACCGUCUUUGGUUGGUUUACAGUGAGUGACUUGGACUGACCCUUGCUAAAUGUACUCGUGUUGUUUACUUCGUUAUCUCUUUUCCUCGGGGCUAAUCUUUUGGUACUUUCUCCUACUUCUAUUUUACCACUCCUCACAGUAUUUUCAAUCAUUUCACCUGUCAUCACUAUGUCUGAUAAGCUUUUAGUGGCACUCCCUAACAUAUGAGUGAUAAAAUGAGCCUUCAAAGUGUUGAUAAAGAGCAUUGUGGUUUCUUUUUCUAAAAGCGGUGGCUGAACUUGUAUGGAAACUUCUCUCAAUCUUUGCAUAUAUUGUCUGAAACUUUCAUUUGGUUUCUUCUCCAUAUUCUGGAGAGUAAUCCUGUCAGGAGUCAUAUCCGUCACAUGACUAUACUAUUUCAUAAAGGUUUAAGCUACGUCUUUCCAUGAGUUAAUCUUAGCACGACUCAAUUGGUUAUACCAUUUGGAUGCCGACCCAACCAGACUGUCCUGAAAGCAGUGAAUCAAUAGCUGGUCAUUGUUGAUGUAUCCAGUCAUUCGUCUGCAAAACAUAGUAAUAUGAGCUUCAGGGCAGCUCGUUCUAUUGUAUUUCUCAAAUUUCGACAUUUUAAACUUGGGGGGUAGAACCAAGUCUGGGACCAAACUCAGGUCCUUAGUGUCAAUUCCGUGAUGACUAUCAGCACUUUUCAUUGCCCGAAAUUUUUCCUCUAGCCAUUUAUGCUGUUUCUCUAAUUGCUUCUGUGAUUCUAUCCUUGCCUUUUCCUCCUCCGCGACUUCAUCUAAAUCAGGAAUGAGUGGAUAAUUCGAGUUAUUAACAAGGUUAAAGCCUGAGCCAGCUUAGAAAUUCAUUGGUAUCGAAGCUCCGGCCUGAAUCUGUUGAGGCCUGAUCGUAACAAAUGGUCUCUGUAGAUUAAUUUCAGGUUGUAUCGGUACAUGUGUCGGAGUAAAGCCAGGAGGAUAUUGAGGGUCUUCAUUAUUUUCCCCAACAUUGUCCAUGGGACCCUUUCCUUUAUCCAUUAUUCCCAUCAGCAAUUGGAACAACUGACUCAUCAUCUCUCUUUGAGAUUCCAUCAUUUGCUCUUUUAUCUCUUGCUGAAUCUUGGCUAGCUACUCUUGCAUCUGUGACUGCAUUUGUUCAUGCAUGUCCUUUUGCAUUUGCUCUAAUUUCUCAAGUCUUUUGUCCAUUGACUUGGUCUUUUUCCUUGUACUGUAAGGGUGAGUAGUUGGUUGGUUUUCGUUGGUUUCCAGAUUACUAUAAUAAUUUUUAAUUGAUUAGAAUCUUUUUAUGACUUUUAAUGCAUAUGAUAUAAUGCAAUACAAAUGCAUGAAUGCAAAGGAGGCAUCAAUUCUGAUUCAAUUCCCUUUAAAAAACUUCACUAGAAAAUAAGAUUCUUUACAUAAAACUGAGUUACAAAUAAAACUUCGCCCUAAUGCUUAGAGCCUUAAUUUUCCUAAGCAACGAGGCUAGCUCCUGCCCCCGAUCUGACUCCAACUCAUGCUUCACGCUCAGUAUGUCCGCUUGUACCGCUAAAGCUUGCAAAUAUUCGGCUACCUCCCAAAUCUGGGCUAUGGCUUCCCCCAUAAUGUAAUCCCUGUUCCUGACUUGGUCUUGUGCAUGGUGAAGCUGUUCCUUCCAACAUUCCUCACUUGCUUCAAAAAACUAGAUCCGCAUCUCAGCUUUGUAGUGACACUUCUAAUUCUUAUACUUUUCCUUUCAUUUCUUCCACCUUACUCAAGCUUGCCCUCAACUCCGUUACGGUAUUAUGGCUUCAGCACUGAUAAAGAGACUUCUCAAGUUCUGCCACUCUAGCUCUUAAUUCACCUCGUUUAUUUCUGCUUUCUGAUAGAAUCUUCUCUAAAUCCUCAUUUCGUGCCUGAGCCUCUCGAAAUUUUCUUUCCCAUCGGUCGGCUUUGGUUUUUUCCUUUCGAAUUUAAUGGCGCCAUUAUUCUGAAGUUUUGCCUAACCCAGCAGUUCUCAUAGACAGGUGUAACUUCUUAUAAUCCGUCUUCAAACUAUCUAGAUCCUCUUCGCCUUACUUUUUCCUUUUCUCCACUUCUCAGCCUCUGACCUCUAAGCGUCUACGUCUAAUCUCAGAUGUAUCUUUUCUUCCUCCAAUUGUUCGAUCUUUUUCCCAAGCUCAGAACUCUUCUUUUCAAAGUCUUGCUUUAUAAUUUCCAACUCUGACGGGACAACUUGUAAUUGUUCCUCCACAGGUCGAGUAUCUUCUACACUUAGUCUAAGAAUAUUGUCAUUGACCCUUUUUAUAAACCAUCUGUUGUAUUUAGGUGUCACCAUGGAACCAACAGCCAACCUCUUCAUCCAGCGAGUUUUCUUCCAAGCAUCAGAUAGUUCCCGAACCUUCUUCUUAUAGUGGUCACCUUUAAAGGAGAAUUCACACUGAGUAAGCCCGUAAGUCGUGGGUACAAACUGCCUCGAUUUAUAUUACCUUAAUGCAAGCAAUGGAGUAUACCCAGUAGCUCCCCAAAUUCUUAACAACGGUACCCAAUCAAAGUUCCCACAUUGAUACAGGAUUUCAUCAGGAACAAAUCCAAUAAGCUCUCCACUCUAUAUCCAUCUCCUUGAGGUUUUGGAGGAUUUCCAUCCACUUCUCCUCUGAUAUAUCCUCUCUCCUUUGUAUGGCUGCCUCCUCCUUUAACGGGGAAUAACCUUCGGAAAAGACCUGGUAAGAAAUCUUGUCUACUUUCCAAAAAUGCCCAUGAAACCACAUCAUCAACAGUUGUGCAUAUCCAAUAAACUGCCCCUCGCCUGUCUUCCGACACAUGCUCAAGGAUCUGAACAUCUCAGCCAAGAUUGCAGGUACAUGUGUGAUUCCGUUUUUAAACCGAUCGAAUAAGUUAGUGACUACCUCAUCCACAUGCCUUAAAGCCUUAAGAAAAAUGACCAAUCCAUAGAUGCUUAAGGCGAAGAUAUCGACCCUCUUUCUUUCAUCCGGGUGUGUUAAAACCAAAUCUCUCAAAUUUUCCUAAGGGAUACAUUUACUAUCCCCCUUCUGUUGAAUCCGAGCGGUAACCCAAGGCUCGCUCAUCCCUGAAAUAUUCAUCAAUUUCUUCGCGAAAGUUUGACCAUUAAAAACCUUGGCAUAAGCUUUCCUAACUUGAAUUUUUGGACACUUGAGUAGGGUAGUAUAUUCCUCUAUGGUAGGCACUAAAUCCAUUUCCCCAAAAGUGAAACACUUGUAAGCAGAAUUCCAAAAUUGAACCAUAACUCGGAACAGAUGCUUGUCCACUUUAACAUCUAGCAAAUAGGAUAUAUCACCAUAGCUUUGAUAGAACAACUGUUUGGUUCCUUCCCAUAUAUCUCUCAACUCUUGCAACUCAUUUUGUGUUACAUUGACGCGAGUGAAUUCCUGCAACUCUGAUGUAUAUCCUUCUGCCAAGCUAUCCCCUUUUUCUAACUGUAACUUCUCUGACCAUGCGCGGACGGCCGCAUUAUCCUCAACUUUAUUAAGAAAUUCAUUCUCUAUGUUAAACUUUCUAACUUAGUAAUCGAAUACGAAUCAACACCUCCUUUAGUAUGCAAUGUCAUGCAAAACACAAUCAAAACAAAACACAAGUUAGUAUCAAAUAUAAGUGAUAAAAUACUAGCACAACAAAGAUAGUUAUAACACACAUAUGGGCAAAUACUAAGUCUUGAUGCGGCUCUACCUAAGAGUAGCUCUUAAGGUCCACUAUAUAUGGUUCGAUUUUAGAGAUAAGGUACCUGAACCAGCAGAUUCCUCAAUCCUCACCCAUUAUAGGCUCAUAUGGAUCGAGUUCGAUUCAGGGGAAUACAUUUCCCUAUGACCAUGCGGAGAUGAAAAUCUCACGAAAUCAUAAGUACGGAUGUAUCCCAGAAGCAAUCCACUAGCCCAUUCGGAGGUGAAAACCUCACGAAAGCAUAGUUUCUUACUCCCACUUAGAAGGUGUGACCACAGCGGUAAUGCAAUGCAAUGCAGUAUUAUUCUACAAGAUCCGAACCAUAACGAUCAUACAAUCAAAUGCAAUUGGAAGAAUCAUGAUUUUCAAAACAAAUUUUCAAUUUCUUUGACAAAAGGACAACGAAUAAUCAAUUUUAUGGCUUGACUCUCUUGUUCGUUUCCCCAGUGGAGUCGACAAGCUGUCGAAACUAUUUUUUUUAUUUUGAAUUUGAAAACAACGUGGAUUGACUUUAAAAAACGAAAAUGUGGAGUCGCCACCAAUCCUUUUUGUUUAGGUGAGAUUGGAUCACCUAAUAAAAUAUUUUAUUCCAUUUAAAUCAAUUUUGGCCUACGUAAAUUUGAGAAAACGGGUUCGGGAGCCGGUUACGUAUGAGGAAGGAUUAGAACCCUCACUACGCCCAAAAUUGGUACCAAAUCGAUUAAGUACUGUCCUUAUGUCUAAGUUUUAAAGCUGUUUUUGAAAUAUAGUUCCUUUUGAAGCAUUUGAAUGGCUCAAGUUGGUCGUCAAAAUUCUCUUGUUUCAGAGGAAUACAGCAUCCCAUCCAGCACGAUAGGACACAAUCCUUUAUACUCUCGAAAACACGAUACAUUUUGACUUCCAAAAGUUUAUAUGUUAAAAAUUACAAAAAGAUACCCAAUUAUUUAGUCCAACGAAAAAACCAAAACCCAGGACAGUAGGUCACGAUUCCUCGAAUUUCUAGACAUUGAACAUUGCCUUGUUUUAGAAUUUUUAAAACAUGAGUGAAAUUCUAAAGGAAUAUUCGAUUAUUUUGAACAAAAGGGAAAUUGCAACCCAACAUGAUAGGGCACGAUUCUCCGAAUUCUCAAACAUCGAACAUUGCCUUCGCUUUAAAGAAUUUUUAAAACAUGAGAGAAAUUCUAAAGGAAUAUUCGAUUAUUUUGAACAAAUGGGAAAUUGCAACCCAGCACGAUAGGGCACGAUUCCCCGAAUUCUCAAGCAUCGAACAUUGCCUUCGCUUUAAAGAAUUUUUAAAUGAAUAAUUAUAAAACCAACUUAAAACGUAUUAAUUUUACUUGAAAUAGAAUGAAAUAAUUAGUUUUAAAGAAUUGGACCUUAUAAAACAACAUUUCGUAAAUCAAAAGAAAAAUAAAAGCAUGGGAUAAUAUGUAUCCAUAAAAUACAAUGAUAGUUGAAUGAAGAUAAUAUAUCUUAUUUAAUCGGCUAACAAAAUAAACACUUAAAUAUAACUAACCUAAAAAAUAUAAUCCAAUUUCAAUCAUGUGUGGAGAAUAAUUGAUAUAACAAUACAAAAAAAUGAAUAAAUAAUAUGAACGACAAUGUACAUAGUAUAAUAUAAAAACCAUUAACAUAAGAUGCAUGGAACAAGAUGUUAAUUAGGAGUCAAUGUGGUAUAAGUCAAUUCUAAAACAAUAACGAUCUAAUGAACCCAUAAUUUAUACGACAUACGAAUUAAUGAAUUGAUGAAUUUAAAACUAUUUGUAAAAAAAACAAGCUAGAGAUAUAUACGUAAUUAUUAAAAUAUGUGUCAUAAAUUAAAUAUUUUAAAAUCAAAUAGUAUAUAAAGUGUUAAAGAAUAUUAGUUUAAAAUUGACAAUUUUCAUACAAUAAAGGAGAAUUUAAUUUAUUUAUAAAAUAUGAAAAGAUAAUAAAAAUAUAUAAUGAAAUAUAAUCUUGGGAGAUAAACCAUACGCAUCAUAGAUUUACAAAUCAUAUAUAAAUUUAGAAAUAAUUAUUUAUAAAAAAUAACAUGGAAACACAUACAAGAUUAAAUUAAUAUUACUAUAUAUGUACAGAUAUAUAAAAAAACAUUUAAAUGAGAUACUAUCUAAUAUAAUAAAAGAAUACGUUAUAAUGACUUUCAAAAUAAUGAUUUUAUAAACAAAAAAUAAAUUUUAAAACAAUGAUUUAACCAUUAAAAUAAUAUAUAUACGAAUAUACACAAAAAUGUCUAAAUGAGACAUUGUAUAUAUAAUAUGAUAAAACCAACUUCAAAAUAAUAAUAUAAAUAAAAAAACAAAGCAAAAUUAAUAAAAUAGAUAAAAAUAUUAAAUGAAUUUUAAAAUAAUAAGUAUUUCAAAUAGAAAGCUUAAUAAAAUAAACUUAAAAAUGAAAGGGAUAAUUUAUAAAUAAAAGAAACCAAAAUAGGAGUCGGCGCGCAAUACAUGUAAAUGUAUAAUGACUAAAACUGGAAAUAAUCUAGGCCCCAAAAAGCAGUGCAGUAUCGCAGACUCAAAUGAAUACGCGCACGAAUUAAUGAGCCAAAUUAAAAAAAAAAAACAAAGUAAAAGAAAUAAGGCGCAAUUGAAUGCUCGCGCGAAAGAAAGGAUCUAACGCGCAAAUUCCCCACUUCGAAUGAAAAGGCGCAGAUCCGACCUGUUAAUCGGGUUGACGCGCGGACCCUUCCUGUUUUAAACGGCGUCGUUUUUUAAGAAAGGAUUUAAUGCCUUUUUCUUUUCUUCUUAAAAUGCAGCAAAUCAUUUAAAUAAUAAAAAAAAAACAACGCGAUCAACCCACUCAAUUAGGGUUUCAUCUAGCAUGCUGCCGCCGUGUCCUCAUUAUUUUGGUGGCCGACGAUGCGUGAACGGUGGCCAGAUCUUACCAACGGAGGCCACGACAAUAGAGAUCUGGUAAGGUUUUUUUUUUCUUAUUUUUAAAAAAAACCUUCAAACCCUACACUAUUUUGUAAAAAAAACGAAACAAAAUUUGAAGAAAUAAAAAAAGGCCCCAUCAUCGUUCGACCCUCGUCCACAUCUCCAUGCUUCUGAGAUGUUUGGACUCUCAUCGGCGUCGGUUCAAAUAUUUCUUUCUUUUAUGCUAAAAUCGCAAGCAAAUGAGAAGAAAACCAAAAAAAUAAACGGACUUGAAAAUCACAUUUUUAUUUGUGAUUUCGGCUUUUUCUAUUGAUCUCUUUGUUGUAUGUAUGUAUAGUAUGCGUGCGUAAAAAAAAUACAAUGGAUUAUCUAUGGCUUUAUAGCCGAAAUGUUCAAAAAUAAAAAUACAAUUUUUCUUUUUCUUUCGUAUUGGUCGUUGCUGCUGCUGUUUGCUUGUUUUUUUUCGCAGGUACGGAGCGUGUGCUGGCACUUGGCGUGAGGCGUACAGAGGCGAGCGUGGCAGUCGUACGGUGCUGGGGGCUGCGGUGCGGUUUGGCUAGGGUUUCCCUUCCUGAAAUCAGAAAUUGGGUCGUUUGGGUCAUUGGGCCAUUUCUGUAUUUGGGCCUCUGGGUUCAUUGGGUUAGGAUUCUUAGGCUAUUCGGGUUAGGUUUAGUUCAGGCCCGAGAAUUUGUAAAUGGACUUUUAAAUUUGGACUGUUAUAAGAUUUGGAUUUUAUAUUUAUUUUGUAUUUCGGUUUUGAUGUGGACCCAGGCAAAUUGGCCCGUUUACAUAAUACAUCAAAUACAUUAAAAAUGUUAAAAUAAAUGUUUUCUAACAAAUUAAAAAUAACAUUAAGAUAGUUACAAUUUUGCAAGCAAAUGCAUCUAAAAUAGAAGAAAAAGUAACAAUAAAAUUAGAGUUUUACAAUAUCUAAAUAAUAACAACAAAAUAGUAGCAAUAUAAUAAUAAAAUAAUAUCAAAACAACUUAAUCGGGCCGGGCUAAGCUUGGACAGAAAAAUUCUACCCAUUAAGAAAUAAAGUCUUAUUUUUUUGUCAAAAUUUACUUUUUUGACCUAUAUUUUUGUUUAAAUUCUUUCACUUCUCGAGUGGGCCUUUCGAAUCUAGAUAGAUUAUCUAACUCAUAAUCAAGUCUAAAUUAAAAGAGUAUUCAUUUUUAAAAUAUAUAUAAUGGAUAAUCUGAAUAUCCAAUCUGCAUAGGCAUGAAACACAAAUAUCAUAUAGGAAUAUUUUCAGAAAAAAUGAAAAAAGAAUCAUUACAAACGUACCUUAAAAAAUGUCCUACAAACAUACUUUAAAAUGUCAAAAGUAAAAUAUUUCAAGAAAGAUCUGAGUGCAAUAAUAAAUAAAUUCAAAAAAAAAAAAAGUUUCUAAGUGAACCUAAACAAAGAAUGAAUAAAUAUAAUAGCUAAUGAUGAUUAAAAACAUGGCGUAGGCCAUGAACAUAUAUGCUAAAAUGAAGCAGAACUGGUACGCCGCAGCUGGUACUUUGGCACUGUAUCAUUUGUAUUUGCCGACAACACCAUCUCCACUUCCUGUUUAAACAACACUCGGAACUCAGUUUCGGAUAGUGUUUCACAUUUAUAUUCUUAAUUUGUUUUGUAUAUUAAAAAGAUUAAUUUCCUAUAUUUAUGUUCGAAUAUGGCUCGUAUAUGGGUGUUUCAGAGAAAAUGGAAAGUCUAGGCAACAUAGUUGCAGGGUGGGGGUGAUUAAAUUUUCAUACAUGAAGAGCCUUUUUUAUCCUAAUCAAGUUAAUAUGAAAUUUUACAGCUUGCUUUGAGAACCUAUGAUAUUGAUCAUCAAAAGCUUCAUAGCCAUCCAAUCAAAGGAAAUAAAAAAAAACCUGUUAUUACUUUAUUUCUUUAAAACAUUUCUGAAAACGAAACUGGACCUUCUUGUUUAUCAAUUAUCAAACCAGUUUAUGUUUUCUAAGGCCAUAAAAUUGGUCUGAGAACAAGGCAUUUACCCUAUGGAUUCCCAGUUUUUUGUUAAUUUCAUCAAUGGUUAACAAAAGAUCAAAAGGAUUUUCAUACCAGAAGUGAAGAAGAAAGAUAAUGCUAAUAAAGUUAGAAUUGUCUACUUCAAAGCCAGCAAAGUGGUUCAUGAUCCUAUUAGACCAAGUAUGCUAUGAAUGCUGUUAAUAAAGCAUAUACUUCACAAAAAAAAAAAAAAAAGGUUCAAGUAAGGUACCUUUUGCCUUUUGAGCCAGCUAUUCAUUUUCUUUAAUUGAUCUACUUCAAGCUCCAAUUGAUUGGUAUAAGCCUACCAUUACCAAACAAACAGAUACAUAUUAUAAGACCACAUAUCCAUAUAUAUACUUCUUGAAGUUCAUAAAUGAUUUCGCAUACACAUAUAUGUAUAUGUAUGUAUAUCAACCUGCUUCCUUGCCCGGGACCGUGCUGCGGAUUCUCGGUUCUUGAUCAUCCUCUUUUGCCUUCUCUCAAUAGUCUUCUCCAUCACAUCUGAAUAUCUGUGUUUCCUAGCAGCAGUUGGUUGAGAAUCGGAUGAUGUUGCUGACAUUGCAGGCAUUGGCAUUGUAAUAGCCAGUUGGUUCUCAUGGUACCCAACAUCUACAACUUGGUUCUCAUAAACUGACUCCGGAACAUUUAAAUUCGAAUCCAUCAUUGUCAUUUGUUGUUGUUGCUGAACGGCAGCCAUUUGGAACUGGAGCCAAUCAGCCUGUUGAGAAACCACGGGCAUCGGGUCAAUUGCCAUGAACUGUUGCGGAUGAAUGACACCAUCCUGGAUCCCACCAUUGAUCACACCGGCACGAACAAGGAAAUCCUCGAGCGUCGUCUCGCCGAGCGUCAGUUGGUGUUGAACGAAUCGGUUGUCCAUCGCAUUGACAUUGCCACCGCCGUUAUUAACUAUUUCCUUCCAAACCUCAUCAACGGUUUUCUUACUCAAUGUGCCAUUGAAAUUGAUGUUCCCAAGAAAGAAAGAAGCAGCAGAUGAUGAGGAAGAAGAUGAAGAUGGGUUUUGAACCAAUCCUCCUUCUUCAACAGCUAUCAAACUCCUCAACAACUCAUCCAAAUUCAUAGCAUUCAAUGGCUUCCCUAUCUUCCCCAGUUGGCUUUGAACCUCAUCAAAAGUGAGGUUAUAUAAAGAACUAAUUUGUGAAGCCAAAGGGGGAAAAUGUUGCCCCUCAGAUCUAUUAGGAGACAUCAUGAAUCUAUCUCCCAUUCACAAAUCAAUCAAUUUAAGAAAAUCCCAAGGAAAAUAACACUUGAAAAACAUCAACUCUAAUCUCAAUGACCCAAUAUUCAGAUCAGAGUUGAGUUGACUAAUAAAGUACUAAAUGGGGGAUCUGUAAACAGAUUCAAGUAGAGAAAUUUAACAAAGGGUUUGCAUCAAAUUGUGAAAAAAUGGGAAAAAAAAAGGAUUGGUGAAGUAGAUGGGAAGUUGAGAAGUGAAAGGCAUGUAAAGAGUGAAAUCUGAACCGCCAGGAAGAUCGAAGAAGGCGUUGGAAACGAUCUGGGAGAUGUGAAUUUGUUGUGGAGAGUCCUAUUUUUAGAGUUUUUUUUGUGUAUGAGAAAGUACUGCCAUGCCUGAUUUCCUUGCUAAUUUGUUGGGAUAGCCAUUAGAGAUUGAGACUUCCCCCUCCCCAAAAAACAGAGUCAAUUAAUGACCCAAACAACAAUUUAACUUCAUUUCAAUCCCUCUCCUUUCUGUGAAGGGGUUCUAAGGGAAUUGUUCAUCGACCGUUAUAGUCGUUAAAUCUGGAUGUUCUUGGCGGGGGGCCCGGCGAUGGAGCUCUGUCAUUUCAUUCGGCUUUGGGCCCUAAGCCCCGACUCUAACUUGAGAGCUUUGUUGUCAACCAAACCUAGUUUUUAAGAUUUAGACAUCAUUUAUGUUUGGAUUUUUGGAUUCAAUAGAAAAUGCAAAAAGCUUAAAUUUAGGGAUUAAUUGCACCAUGCAUUUUUAAAUUAUGAGUUAAAUUUUAAAUACUUCCUAAAUUUUAAAAUAUUUUAAUUGAAUCCUCAAACUAAAUCAAAAUCUUUUAUUAAUCUAUCAGUUAGUUUUAGCAUUAAAUGCUAACUUGAUUUGAGGUGAUUUCUUUUUAGAUACAUAUAGAUGAAGAAAAAUAUUUUUAAACACUAAAAGCUAACCUUUGACACUAAAGGUAAUGAUUAAAAUAACAAAAAAACCUUAUUGAAACAAUAUUUUAAUUGUCAACCACGCUUUCGCUCAAAGGCAAUAGUAAAGUUGAGGCUCUGGGAUCAUCUCAAGUUUGAGUUUCAAUAUAUGUAAAAUGUAUGUGUUCUCUUAGUUGAGUUAAUUAUUUAGUUAGUGCUUGUAAUUACUGAAUGCAUUGGAACUAUUAUAACUUUUUUUAAAAAUAAUUUGAUUUGAAAAUUCAAUUGAAAUAUUUUAAAGUUUGAAGAUAAAUUUGAUCUUUAAUUGGGGAUAAUUUAACCUUUUUUUUUAAACACGUAACGUCAUAUGGCACAUCCUCAUUGAUUGGGUGUGCUAUCUUUUUUUAAACAAAAUUAACUUUUUGGACUAAAUUUAGAAGGGAGGGAUAGUUUACCUACCAAAAUGGGACAAAAAAAUUAAAUACUAAAAUGAAAAAAUGAGUAUAACUCGAAAGCCAAAUCAUGAUAUAAGUCAAUUUUUGCUGCAAAUCUUAUAACAUUAUGCCUUGUUUGAUUAUCUAGUGUAUUUACACAAAAAAAAUCUUAAAUUAUUAUACAGAUAAACUUGAAAUUAGAA